This 103-nucleotide small RNA is filed under the name Caenorhabditis elegans. Its description in RNAcentral is "Unclassified non-coding RNA Y53C12B.10". The record is from RNAcentral. Lineage: Eukaryota; Metazoa; Nematoda; Chromadorea; Rhabditida; Rhabditidae.
GCAACAACAACCACCACCACAAGAAGGAUAUGAUCAACAGCAGCAGUUUGGAGGUGGAUCCGAUGGUGGACAAUACCAAAGAGGACCACCAGGAGGCUAUCGG